Molecule: ribosomal RNA, 300 nt
Filed under: uncultured bacterium
Lineage: Bacteria
Description: bacterial SSU rRNA
Rfam family: Bacterial small subunit ribosomal RNA
Source: RNAcentral
GCUCACUCUGGCGCAGAACGCGGAGUAAUACAGAGGGGGCAAGUGUUAAUCGGAGUUACUGGGCGUAAAGCGUGAGUGGGUGGCUCGCUAAGUCGAGUGGGAAAGCCCUGGGCUCAACCUGGGAAUUGCAGUCGAUACUGGUGAGCUAGAGUUCGGUAGAGGGUGGCGGAAUUCCCGGUGUAGCGGUGAAAUGCGUAGAUAUCGGGAGGAACAUCGAUGGCGAAGGCAAUCACCUGGGCCUGAACUGACACUGAGACACGAAAGCGUGGGUAGCAAACAGGAUUAGAUACCCCGGUAGUC